GGAGUCUGGUCCGUGUCUCAGUACCAGUGUGGGGGACCUUCCUCUCAGAACCCCUAACGAUCGUUGGCCAGGUGGGCCGUUACCCCGCCUGCUGCCUAAUCGUACGCAUCCCCAUCCAUCGGCGACCGAAGUCUUUCGUGAAAAUCAGAGGCCUUCUUCUCACAACAUCAGGUAUUAGGCUCCCUUUCGGGAGUUUAUCCCUGACCCAUGGGCAGGUUGGAUACGCGUUACUCACCCGUGCGCCGGUCGUCAUCAAGAGUUGCAAGCAACUCCCAUGCUGCCCCUCGACUUGCAUGUGUUAAGCCUGUAGCUAGCGUUCAUC
This 322-nucleotide ribosomal RNA is filed under the name uncultured Prevotella sp. RNAcentral describes it as "partial 16S ribosomal RNA". The record is from RNAcentral. Lineage: Bacteria; Pseudomonadati; Bacteroidota; Bacteroidia; Bacteroidales; Prevotellaceae.